GAGAGAUGCGGCAUUAGAGAGAGAGAAAAAAACUUGAGAAACAACGUGAAUUAGAAGCUGCGUAAGAUCUUGAUUUAUUUCAUUUUGAGAGAGAACGCAUGUGAAAACCAAACAUUUGGAGUAGGCCAUCAUUGCGUCAUCCGAGAGAAACCUGGAAAAAAACAGAGAAAUAUCAUUAAUACACGAGGGAAUCGGCCAGUUUUGUUAUUUUAGAAAUCUAGAAUCUGGAUUUUUUCAAUUCAUGAAGAUGGCGAGCCAACCGUAAAUCGAUCAGAAACAACUAUCCUUUGUCUUUUUGGACAUCUGUAUCACUUCACUUUCGGCAGGACAUCGCGUCGGAUUUUUUUCUUUUGAGGUUUGAAACAUCUGACAUUUUCAUUUUUCCUUUUGAGCAUUGGAUCACUGAUUUAAAGGAACUGAGGAGACAAUAUCAUUCUUUAUUGUUCAGACUGACAUUUUGUUUGAACUGUGCAUUCAAGAAUUACUGAUACUGCAUUGAUACGCAUUCAUUUAGACUUUGUUUCGUAUAAACAAGUGUUUACAGUGGACAUUUGUACGUGUGACUAAACACAAGUCCUGACAUUCGUGUUUAUUUUAUAUCUACUGAUCUUGAGUAUACAUUUGAGUUGUGUACAUAAAAAAGGAGAUCAGAAAUUGA
Long non-coding RNA from Carassius auratus (goldfish), 658 nucleotides. RefSeq lists it as uncharacterized. Lineage: Eukaryota; Metazoa; Chordata; Actinopteri; Cypriniformes; Cyprinidae. The record is from RefSeq and is a predicted model, not a curated record. The transcript has 3 exons.